RNAcentral lists this transfer RNA (82 nucleotides) under Staphylothermus hellenicus DSM 12710. RNAcentral describes it as "tRNA-Cys". It matches the Rfam family "tRNA". Rfam says of the family: Transfer RNA (tRNA) molecules are approximately 80 nucleotides in length. Their secondary structure includes four short double-helical elements and three loops (D, anti-codon, and T loops). Lineage: Archaea; Thermoproteati; Thermoproteota; Thermoprotei; Desulfurococcales; Desulfurococcaceae. The record is from RNAcentral.
GCCGGGGUGGCCGAGCGGUCUAAGGCGGCGGGCUGCAGGGAAACCCGCUUUAUCGCGGGUUCGAAUCCCGCCCCCGGCUCCA